UACAGAGGUCCCAAGCGUUGUUCGGAUUCACUGGGCGUAAAGGGUGCGUAGGUGGCCGGGAAAGUUCGAUGUGAAAGCUCGGAGCUCAACUCCGAAAUGGCAUUGAAUACUAUUCGGCUUGAGGGUCGGAGGGGAGACUGGAAUUCUCGGUGUAGCAGUGAAAUGCGUAGAUAUCGAGAGGAACACCAGUGGCGAAGGCGAGUCUCUGGACGACUCCUGACACUGAGGCACGAAAGCUAGGGGAGCAAACAGG
RNAcentral lists this ribosomal RNA (253 nucleotides) under uncultured bacterium. RNAcentral's name for it is "partial 16S ribosomal RNA". It matches the Rfam family "Bacterial small subunit ribosomal RNA", at positions 524 to 776 of the family's 1533-position model. The record is from RNAcentral.